CAGAAGAUCCAGCUCUGAUCAGCAGCUCCACACCUCUGUACUCAGACUGCUCUGCUGGAGGAACACCAUCAGCUCACCUGCUGCAGAAUCAUCUGCAUUUAAAUCAAGAUGCAUCCAAGAAAUGAAUGCUGUGCUGUUCCAGGGCUUCCCCUGAUCCCAGUGUCAGUGUUCCGAACUGAAGAGAUUUUCAGUAGAUUUCCCAAAGAUAUGAAGCUGCUGAACAAAAAGGAGAACAUGGCAUCCACAGAAAUCUCCAAUAUUCAGCAAAAAUCCUCUCAAUCACCCGAGAAGCUAAGGCAGAAAAGUACAGGCCAGGAGAAACCUCACCACUGCUCAGACUGUGGGAAGAGUUUUACUCAACUGAGUCAUCUACAACAACACCAGCGCAUUCACACUGGAGAGAAACCAUUUCACUGCUCAGACUGUGGGAUGAAGUUUAAUCACCAGUAUAAUCUCCAGCGACACAAACGUAUUCACACUAGAGAGAAACAGUUUCACUGCUCAGACUGUGGGAAGAGUUUUAAUAAUCCGAUUAGUCUUCAAAGACACAGACACGUUCACACUGUAAAUAAACCGUUUCACUGCGCAGUGUGUGGGAAGACCUUUUAUCAAAAGAGUUAUCUUAAACAACACCAGCGCAUUCACACUGAAGAGAAACCAUAUCCCUGCUCAGAGUGUGGAAAGACUUUUUAUCAAAAGAGUCAUCUUAAACAACACCAGCGCUUUCACACUGGAGAGAAACCAUAUCACUGCACAGUGUGUGGGAAGAAAUUUUAUCAAAUGAGUCAUCUCAAAAAACACCAGUUCAUUCACACUGGAGAAAAACCCUAUCACUGCUCAGAAUGUGGGUUGAAUUUUUAUCAACAGAGUAGUCUCAAAAGACACCAACGCAUUCACACUGGAGAGAAACCGUAUUACUGUUCAGAAUGUGGCAUGAAUUUUUAUCAACUGAGUCAUCUCCAGCGACACCAGUGCAUUCACACUGGAGAGAAACCGUUUUACUGUUCAGAAUGUGGAAUGAAUUUUUGUCAUCAGAGUGGUCUCCAACAACACCAGCGCAUUCACACUGGAGAGAAACCGUAUCACUGCUCAGACUGUGGAAUGAGUUUUAAUCGCCAGUAUAGUCUCCGGCGACACCAGCGUAUUCACACUGGAGAGAAACCGUUUCACUGCUCAGAGUGCGGGAUGAAUUUUAUACAUCAGAGUACUCUCCAGCGACACCAACAGGUUCACACUGAAGUUAAACUAUAUGACUGCUCAGACUGUGGAAUGAGUUUUGUUAAUGAGAGCAAAUUCAAAAGACACCAGGUCAUUCACACUGGAGAAAAAACAUAUCAAUGCCCAGACUGUGGGAAGAGUUUCAAUCGGCGGUAUAAUUUCCAGCGACACAAACGCACUCACACAUGAGAAACACACUGCUCAGACUGUGGGAUUAAUUUUGAUUAUCAAAUUUGAUUAUUAGUCUCCAUUGACUGGAGAAAACACAGCCUCAGAGUUAGACUCUGGGAAGGAUGAAUUUAGAGAGUAAGUUUGUUUGAUGGGCAAAGUUGUUGAAGAAAUCUGUCAUCCAGAUGAGAACAUAACCAUUGUUUUCAAACCUAUUUGCAUUUAGGUUUAAUAGUCCAGCUGGUUUGUAAAAUAGAUAUAUAGUUAGAGAGCUCUGUAGCAUGGCAUAGCAAAGGUAUUGGGUUGGUUUAUAAGAUAAAGGGCAUAUUCAGAUUAAAGUGGAAAAAAAUAAGGUAAAAAAUUUAAAAGACAAAUAUGGUAUUUCAUUGCUCAGUGUGAGCAGUUUUGAGUUUUGUGUAGUUUUUCACUUUUAGAUGGUUAAAUUAGACCAAAUAACAAAGCUUCAGGAGGUAUUUUUAAAUAGAAAUAUUUAAAAAUGUUUUUAACACACCUGCCCUUGUACUGUAAUAGUUUGUGUCUCUGACUUGAUUCGAUGGGUGCUCAACACCUCUAAACCUAUGGUCCUAGAAAUCCUGCUUGUUAAAAUUUAUAAAAAUGUUAGGAAUCAUUCCAAACCCACAUUAUUACUAAAGCCACAGGGGUAGAUGCUCUGUAAUGUCACUGGGUUUGAUGAAGCUGCUCUUAUCCCUUGGCCACUGACAGCUUUAGUUGAUUUUACAACAUUUAUAGACCAACUAGGGGUGGGCGAUAUGACCCUAAAAUAAUAUCACGAUAUUUCAUGGUAUUUUCACGAUAACGAUACUCUUGGCGAUAUGAAAAAACACUGAAUUAAAAAAAUAUUUUAAGAAAACACUACUGCAACAAAAUAAAAAAAUAAAAUUGUAUUAUUACAUACGAUAUGAUAUUGCACACCCCUAAGUGAGAUAUUAAAAAAUACAAGAAUUUUAUCAGAUUGGUAACAGACGUCAAUUAUACAGAAUGUCAGGAUACUACUACUAAUAAUGCUCUCCAAAUAUCUCCAUAUAUCCAGGAUUAAAGUAAAAUACAUUAUUCUAGACAGAUAUAAUCUGUCUCUAGUAGAUAUAUAAUGGGAAAUGGGGUGGGUGAUAUGGCACGAUAUUUUAGGGUAUAAUAUCAUUCACGAUAUUUAAAAAUUUUGACGAUAUUAUUGUGUACGAUAUGAUAUGGCACACCAUAUCACAGACCAACUAGGGAAAGUUAAAGUUGAAUUUGUUAAAAUAUUUUAACAGCUUACAGUUUAGCUUCUAUUUUGGGUAAAUUUGUUUAUAGAGGGUACAUAAAGACUUUAUGUAAAUGUACUCCUGUUCUUGUGCUGUUGCUACAGCCAAAUGAAUUGUGUGUGGAUAUUUUAACCUAAACAUCUGAAAUAAUAUAAACAAUAUGAUAUUAUAACGUUUUACUUAUUUCUGUAAAAACUACACAACACAAUACUGUACUUUUAUUUUCAGCACGUUUCUGGAUCUCUUAUUCUUUAUAUAUUUCAGAUUGUGACUACAUCUUCCUCUUGAUUACAUUCCAGAGGUUUCAAUAGGGUUCAAAAGACCAUAAGAAUUGGACCAAAAAAUGAUUACUGGAGUAAGAUCAUUUUCUCUGAUGAGUCCAAUUUUGCAGCUUUGCUCAAAACCUGGCCAUCAAAUGUUAAGAUGGAGACCUGCAGAUGUGUACAAGCCUAAGUUUCUUGCACCCAAUGUGAAAUGUGGGUGAAGAUCAGUGAUGAUCUAGAGAUGCUUCAGUAGGGCUGGAAUUGGGCAGUUUCAUCUUUGGGAAUGAAUCAAGCCACAUACAAGGUUAUCCUGGAAAAAACUCUUGCUUCCUUCUAAUCUGGCAAUGUUCCCCAACUCUGAGUUUUUUCCAACAAGAUAAUGCUCAAUUCCACACAGCUAGAUCAAUUAAGGUGUGGAUAAAUGAUCAGAUCAAGACCCUGCCUUGGCCAGCCCAAUCACCAGACCUAAACACUAUUGAUAAUCAAUGGAAUGUAUUUAAGAGGAAGAUAGAUGGUCACAAGCCAUUAGACAAAGCUGAACUGCUUGAAUUUUUUUUGUGCCACCCAAAAGCAGUGUGAAAGACGGGUGGAAAGACAUGUUAAGACGAAUACAAACUGUGAAUAAAAAUCUGGGUUAUAUACCAAUUAUUAAUUCUGAACUGUUCCUUAGAUAAAACUUUAUUAUUGUUAUUAUUUCUUAAUAAAUAUGAACUUGUUCUCUUUAGUUUGA
Astyanax mexicanus (Mexican tetra) is the source of this 3641-nucleotide RNA transcript. It is a transcript of the gene named zinc finger protein OZF-like, with no coding region annotated. The record is from RefSeq and is a predicted model, not a curated record. The transcript has 4 exons. NCBI's taxonomy places the organism in Eukaryota, Metazoa, Chordata, Actinopteri, Characiformes, Acestrorhamphidae.